GGAUACCCGCUGAACUUA
RNAcentral lists this ribosomal RNA (18 nucleotides) under Sticta fuliginosa. Its description in RNAcentral is "partial 28S ribosomal RNA". Lineage: Eukaryota; Fungi; Ascomycota; Lecanoromycetes; Peltigerales; Lobariaceae. RNAcentral also lists the same sequence under 4 other names. The record is from RNAcentral.